GAUGAACGCUGGCGGCGUGCUUAACACAUGCAAGUCGAACGGAAAGGCCCAAGCUUGCUUGGGUACUCGAGUGGCGAACGGGUGAGUAACACGUGGGUGAUCUGCCCUGCACUUCGGGAUAAGCCUGGGAAACUGGGUCUAAUACCGGAUAGGACCACAUUUUGGAUGGUGUGGUGGAAAGUUUUUCGGUGUGGGAUGAGCUCGCGGCCUAUCAGCUUGUUGGUGGGGUAAUGGCCUACCAAGGCGUCGACGGGUAGCCGGCCUGAGAGGGUGUACGGCCACAUUGGGACUGAGAUAAGGCCCAGACUCCUACGGGGGGCAGCAGGGGGGGAUAUUGCACAAUGGGGGCGAGCCUGAUGCAGCGACGCCGCGGGGGGGAUGACGGACUUCGGGUUGUAAAAUCCUUUCGCUAGGGACGAAGCGUUAUGUGACGGUACCUGGAGAAGAAGCACCGGCUAACUACGUG
RNAcentral lists this ribosomal RNA (466 nucleotides) under uncultured bacterium. Its description in RNAcentral is "partial 16S ribosomal RNA". It matches the Rfam family "Bacterial small subunit ribosomal RNA", at positions 28 to 507 of the family's 1533-position model. The record is from RNAcentral.